Molecule: long non-coding RNA, 341 nt
Organism: Carcharodon carcharias (great white shark)
Lineage: Eukaryota; Metazoa; Chordata; Chondrichthyes; Lamniformes; Lamnidae
Exons: 2
Source: RefSeq, a predicted model, not a curated record
AAGUUUUAAUUGUAUGACAGUCAUCACCAUUCUGUAGUCAGCUGAUAGAAAAUAUGACGUGGAAUGAGCCAGCAGAAACAGACAUAUAACAGGCAGCAGCACAUGCAGACUGAAGGGGUUUCACUUCAUCAAAGAUCAAUGACUCUAUGAAGAGAAAGCACUGGAGAAUCUGGACAUAAUGGAAAUAGAGGGUGUUUAGGAAUAGAAGGUCGGGGGCUCCCUGAAGGUCAAGGAUAAUAUCAUUCUUUGUUUUUAAUGCUUUUUCUCUGUGCUCAGUGUCUCACACAUAGGCCUUCACCUCAGCACUCCAGCAGAACAGAAUAAAAUACCUUGCCGUGUAA